GAUGAACGCUGGCGGCGUGCCUAAUACAUGCAAGUCGAGCGAACAGACGAGGAGCUUGCUCCUCUGACGUUAGCGGCGGACGGGUGAGUAACACGUGGAUAACCUACCUAUAAGACUGGGAUAACUUCGGGAAACCGGAGCUAAUACCGGAUAAUAUAUUGAACCGCAUGGUUCAAUAGUGAAAGACGGUUUUGCUGUCACUUAUAGAUGGAUCCGCGCCGCAUUAGCUAGUUGGUAAGGUAACGGCUUACCAAGGCAACGAUGCGUAGCCGACCUGAGAGGGUGAUCGGCCACACUGGAACUGAGACACGGUCCAGACUCCUACGGGAGGCAGCAGUAGGGAAUCUUCCGCAAUGGGCGAAAGCCUGACGGAGCAACGCCGCGUGAAUGAUGAAGGUCUUCGGAUCGUAAAACUCUGUUAUUAGGGAAGAACAAAUGUGUAAGUAACUAUGCACGUCUUGACGGUACCUAAUCAGAAAGCCACGGCUGACUACGUG
Molecule: ribosomal RNA, 497 nt
Filed under: uncultured bacterium
Lineage: Bacteria
Description: partial 16S ribosomal RNA
Rfam family: Bacterial small subunit ribosomal RNA
Source: RNAcentral